ACUCGAGUGGCGAACGGGUGAGUAACACGUGGGUGAUCUGCCCUGCACUUCGGGAUAAGCCUGGGAAACUGGGUCUAAUACCGGAUAGGACGAUGGUUUGGAUGCCAUUGUGGAAAGUUUUUCGGUGUGGGAUGAGCUCGCGGCCUAUCAGCUUGUUGGUGGGGUAAUGGCCUACCAAGGCGUCGACGGGUAGCCGGCCUGAGAGGGUGUACGGCCACAUUGGGACUGAGACACGGCCCAG
RNAcentral lists this ribosomal RNA (241 nucleotides) under uncultured Actinomycetales bacterium. RNAcentral describes it as "partial 16S ribosomal RNA". It matches the Rfam family "Bacterial small subunit ribosomal RNA", at positions 89 to 334 of the family's 1533-position model. Lineage: Bacteria; Bacillati; Actinomycetota; Actinomycetes; Actinomycetales. The record is from RNAcentral.